This 466-nucleotide ribosomal RNA is filed under the name uncultured bacterium. RNAcentral describes it as "bacterial SSU rRNA". It matches the Rfam family "Bacterial small subunit ribosomal RNA", at positions 330 to 793 of the family's 1533-position model. The record is from RNAcentral.
CCCAGACUCCUACGGGAGGCAGCAGUGAGGAAUAUUGGUCAAUGGUCGGGAGACUGAACCAGCCAAGCCGCGUGAGGGAUGAAGGUACAGAGUAUCGUAAACCUCUUUUGUCAGGGAACAAAGGCGGGGACGCGUCCCCGGAUGAGUGUACCUGAAGAAAAAGCAUCGGCUAACUCCGUGCCAGCAGCCGCGGUAAUACGGAGGAUGCGGGCGUUAUCCGGAUUUAUUGGGUGUAAAGGGUGCGUAGACGGGAUAACAAGUUGGUUGUGAAACCCCUCGGCUCAACUGAGGAACUGCAACCAAAACUAUUAUUCUUGAGUGCAGGAGAGGAAAGUGGAAUUCCUAGUGUAGCGGUGAAAUGCGUAGAUAUUAGGAAGAACACCGGUGGCGAAGGCGACUUUCUGGACUGUAACUGACGUUGAGGCACGAAAGUGUGGGGAGCAAACAGGAUUAGAUACCCCCGUAU